GAGUGACGGCGUACCUUUUGCAUAAUGGGUCAGCGAGUAAGUUUAUGGAGCUAGCUUAAGUUCUUAGAACGGAAGCGAAGUAAAAGCAAGCUACAAAUGAGCAUCAAAGUUCCAUGGACUUGACCCGAAACCGAGUGAUCUAGUCAUGAGCAGGUUGAAAAAACGAUAACACGUUUUGGAGGACCGAACUCACGCCUGUGGCAAUAGGCGGAGAUGACUUGUGAUUAGGGGUGAAAAGCCAAUCGAACUCGGAAAUAGCUGGUUUUCUGCGAAAUCUAUUGAGGUAGAGCGUAUAUAUAAUGUUUAUUGGGGGUAGAGCACUCGUUGGGUGAUGGUGGCCCAAAGCCUUACUGAUCCCAGAGAAACUCCGAAUACCAAUCAAUUAAUUAUACAGACAGACUUUGGGCGCUAAGGUCCAAAGUCGAGAGGGAAACAGCCCAGAUCGAUCGCUAAGGUUCCAAAGCAAUCCUUGAUAAAAUCAAGACAAGCAAAGCUUGACCUUUUUGUUUUUUAAACAAUAAGUAAACACUGAGUGGUUAAGGAAGUUAUUGGGCGAAAACAACCAGGAGGUAGGCUUGGAAGCAGCCAUCCUUUGAAGAAAGCGUAAUAGCUCACUGGUCUAUGCUCAAAAGCGCCUAAAAUGUAACGGAGCUCAAGUGAUUCACCGAAGCGGCGAUUCAAUAUUAAAAAAAUAAAUAUUGAAGGUAGCAGAACGUUCUGUAAGUCAUUGAAGAAAUUUCGUAAGAAAUUUUGAAGAUAUCAGAAGUGAGAAUGCUGACAUAAGUAACGUUAAAUCAUGUUAAAUUCAUGAUGGCCGAAAGUUCUAGGUUUUUUGCAGACUGUAAAUCGAUGCAAAUAAAGUCGGUCCCUAAGAUAUAAACGAAAGUUCUAAAUUAAUGGGAACAAGAAUAUUUCUUGACGUGAUUUGAUGUGACGAAUAUGGAUUGCUAAAAAAGCAUGCUCAAUUUUAGUUAAUAAAAAGGAUUUUAACUAAAAUUGAGCAUAUUCCAGGAAAUAACUCAAAUCUUUUACUUUAAAUAAAGUAAUACACCGUACCUAAACCAACACUGGUGAACUAGUAGAACAUACUAAGGCCUAGAGAGAACCAUAUUGAAGGAACUCGGCAAAUUACCUCCGUAACUUCGGGAAAAGGAGGACCAAGAAGAAUUCUUGGUGUCACAAAAUAGGGGGUGGCGACUGUUUACUAAAAACACAGGACUCUGCAAAGUGGUAACACGACGUAUAGGGUCUGACACCUGCCCGGUGCUGGAAACUUAACAGGAGGGGUAAGGAUAAUACCAAGCUCUGAAUGCAAAGCCCAGUAAACGGCGGCCGUAACUCUGACGGUCCUAAGGUAGCGAAAUUCCUUGUCGGGUAAGUUCCGACCUGCAUGAAUGGUGUCACGACUUCCCCGCUGUCUCCAAUAUGGUCUCAGUGAAAUUGAAUUCUCCGUGAAGAUGCGGAGUACCCUAAAGUAGACGGUAAGACCCU
Molecule: ribosomal RNA, 1491 nt
Filed under: Stentor polymorphus
Lineage: Eukaryota; Ciliophora; Heterotrichea; Heterotrichida; Stentoridae
Description: bacterial LSU rRNA
Rfam family: Bacterial large subunit ribosomal RNA
Source: RNAcentral